Molecule: transfer RNA, 74 nt
Filed under: Haloarcula vallismortis
Lineage: Archaea; Methanobacteriati; Methanobacteriota; Halobacteria; Halobacteriales; Haloarculaceae
Also listed under: 1 other name
Description: tRNA_Thr_GGT
Rfam family: tRNA
About the family: Transfer RNA (tRNA) molecules are approximately 80 nucleotides in length. Their secondary structure includes four short double-helical elements and three loops (D, anti-codon, and T loops). Further hydrogen bonds mediate the characteristic L-shaped molecular structure. tRNAs have two regions of fundamental functional importance: the anti-codon, which is responsible for specific mRNA codon recognition, and the 3' end, to which the tRNAs corresponding amino acid is attached (by aminoacyl-tRNA synthetases). tRNAs cope with the degeneracy of the genetic code in two manners: having more than one tRNA (with a specific anti-codon) for a particular amino acid; and 'wobble' base-pairing, i.e. permitting non-standard base-pairing at the 3rd anti-codon position.
Source: RNAcentral
GGCAGAAUGGUCAAACCUGGGUACGACACCUCCUUGGUAUGGAGGAGAUACGGGUUCAAAUCCCGUUUCUGCCU